This 209-nucleotide unclassified non-coding RNA is filed under the name soil metagenome. RNAcentral describes it as "partial contains 5.8S ribosomal RNA, internal transcribed spacer 2, and large subunit ribosomal RNA". The record is from RNAcentral.
AACAUCGCGCACCUGCGGGAACCUGCGGAGGGAUCAUUAACAAGCUGUGGGAGAUCAAUUUGAUCUCACACCUGGCCAACCUUGUUAACCUUAAAUAUAUUGCUUUGGUGAGCCCUGCUCACCAAAGUCAAACCCUAAACUCUUGAUUUUUUCUGCUGUCUGAGCAUGCAAGUGCAAAAUUUAGUUAAAAAACUUUCAACAAUGGAUCU